RNAcentral lists this ribosomal RNA (427 nucleotides) under uncultured bacterium. RNAcentral's name for it is "bacterial SSU rRNA". It matches the Rfam family "Bacterial small subunit ribosomal RNA", at positions 355 to 774 of the family's 1533-position model. The record is from RNAcentral.
UGGGGAAUUUUGGACAAUGGGCGCAAGCCUGAUCCAGCCAUGCCGCGUGUCUGAAGAAGGCCUUCGGGUUGUAAAGGACUUUUGUCGGGGAGGAAAUCCUCUGGGUUAAUACCCUAGGGGGAUGACAGUACCUGAAGAAUAAGCACCGGCUAACUACGUGCCAGCAGCCGCGGUAAUACGUAGGGUGCAAGCGUUAAUCGGAAUUACUGGGCGUAAAGCGUGCGCAGGCGGUUGUGCAAGUCUGAUGUGAAAUCCCCGGGCUUAACCUGGGAACUGCAUUGGAGACUGCACGGCUAGAGUGCGUCAGAGGGGGGUGGAAUUCCGCGUGUAGCAGUGAAAUGCGUAGAGAUGCGGAGGAACACCGAUGGCGAAGGCAGCCCCCUGGGAUGACACUGACGCUCAUGCACGAAAGCGUGGGGAGCAAACA